UACGUAGGGUGCAGGCGUUAAUCGGAAUUACUGGGCGUAAAGCGUGCGCAGGCGGUUUCUUAAGUCAGAUGUGAAAGCCCCGGGCUUAACCUGGGAACUGCGUUUGAAACUGGGAGACUUGAGUGUGGCAGAGGGGGGUGGAAUUCCACGUGUAGCAGUGUAAUGCGUAGAUAUGUGGAGGAACACCGAUGGCGAAGGCAGCCCCCUGGGUUAACACUGACGCUCAUGCACGAAAGCGUGGGGAGCAAACAGG
RNAcentral lists this ribosomal RNA (253 nucleotides) under uncultured bacterium. Its description in RNAcentral is "partial 16S ribosomal RNA". It matches the Rfam family "Bacterial small subunit ribosomal RNA", at positions 524 to 776 of the family's 1533-position model. The record is from RNAcentral.